AAAUUGAAGAGUUUGAUCAUGGCUCAGAUUGAACGCUGGCGGCAGGCCUAACACAUGCAAGUCGAACGGUAACAGGAAUCAGCUUGCUGAUUCGCUGACGAGUGGCGGACGGGUGAGUAAUGUCUGGGAAACUGCCUGAUGGAGGGGGAUAACUACUGGAAACGGUAGCUAAUACCGCAUAACGUCGCAAGACCAAAGAGGGGGACCUUCGGGCCUCUUGCCAUCGGAUGUGCCCAGAUGGGAUUAGCUAGUAGGUGGGGUAAAGGCUCACCUAGGCGACGAUC
This 284-nucleotide ribosomal RNA is filed under the name Escherichia coli. Its description in RNAcentral is "partial 16S ribosomal RNA". It matches the Rfam family "Bacterial small subunit ribosomal RNA", at positions 1 to 281 of the family's 1533-position model. Lineage: Bacteria; Pseudomonadati; Pseudomonadota; Gammaproteobacteria; Enterobacterales; Enterobacteriaceae. The record is from RNAcentral.